GAUGAACGCUGGCGGCGUGCUUAACACAUGCAAGUCGAACGGAAAGGCCAGUGCUUGCACUGGUACUCGAGUGGCGAACGGGUGAGUAACACGUGGGUGAUCUGCCCUGCACUUCGGGAUAAGCCUGGGAAACUGGGUCUAAUACCGGAUAGGACAAUGGUUUGGAUGCCGUUGUGGAAAGUUUUUUCGGUGUGGGAUGAGCUCGCGGCCUAUCAGCUUGUUGGUGGGGUAAUGGCCUACCAAGGCGUCGACGGGUAGCCGGCCUGAGAGGGUGUACGGCCACAUUGGGACUGAGAUACGGCCCAGACUCCUACGGGAGGCAGCAAUGGGGAAUAUUGCACAAUGGGCGCAAGCCUGAUGCAGCGACGCCGCGUGGGGGAUGACGGCCUUCGGGUUGUAAACUCCUUUCGCUAGGGACGAAGCGUAUUUGUGACGGUACCUGGAGAAGAAGCACCGGCUAACUACGUG
This 468-nucleotide ribosomal RNA is filed under the name uncultured bacterium. RNAcentral describes it as "partial 16S ribosomal RNA". It matches the Rfam family "Bacterial small subunit ribosomal RNA", at positions 28 to 507 of the family's 1533-position model. The record is from RNAcentral.